CCCUUAGAUGUCCGGGGCCGCACGCGCGCUACACUGAAGGAAUCAGCGUGGCUUUCUCCCUGACCCGAAAGGGUUGGGAAACCCGUUGAAUCUCCUUCGUGGUAGGGAUUGGGGCUUGAAAUUGUUCCCCAUGAACGAGGAAUUCCCAGUAAGCGCGAGUCAUAAGCUCGCGUUGAUUACGUCCCUGCCCUUUGUACACACCGCCCGUCGCUACUACCGAUUGAACGGUUUAGUGAGGGCCUCGGAUUGGUCUCGGCCCGCUCUUUACCGGGCGGCGCCGUUGGUCGAGAAGACGCUCGAACUUGAUCGUUUAGAGGAAGUAAAAGUCGUAACA
RNAcentral lists this ribosomal RNA (334 nucleotides) under uncultured eukaryote. Its description in RNAcentral is "partial 18S ribosomal RNA". It matches the Rfam family "Eukaryotic small subunit ribosomal RNA", at positions 1470 to 1796 of the family's 1831-position model. The record is from RNAcentral.